AAUAUCCUACAGGGUUUAAUUUCUCAAAAAACUAAUAUCACUCUCUUCAACCUAAGAAAGGAUUGUGCAGUCUUUGUCUCACUCAAGUGGAAAGGUUCCUGUGCAAACCAGCAGAGGGCAGCACCUGCUGCGGUUUCCUGCUCUGACAUCAGAGGGCGCCAUUGUGACGUUAUGCCCGCUGCCAGCACAAAGCCUUGGCUUGGCCUGGGUUCUGUCAUUGGCCCAGGAAGCACUGUCCCGGUGACCCAGGGCUGGGAACAGCUGCCUGUUUUUCCCUUGUUUGGUUUAUGUUCCUCCUGCUGCUGUUUUAGUCAAAUUUGUUUUUUCUUUUUCCAUUUUGAUUAUUUUGUUUUCUUAUUUAUUUUGUUUAUUUUUUUCCUCCAACAUUUAUAGUCUCUUGUCGCUUUCUUAUUGAUUUUCCUAGGAUAUUUCAUUUAUUUGGAUUUCUUGUCACUUUUUCAUUGGCUUUCCUCAUGUUGGUGGUUGUUCUUUAUAUUUUCUCCCAUUGUUGGGUUUCCAUUUUUUCACAAUGUGUUUUUUUUUCUCUUUUUUAUUCCUUUUUUUAAAAUAAGACCGUGAGACCAUCUGCAUUACUUGUUAUAUAGUUCAGGUUCUUGGGAUUUUUUUCUUUAUGCUUUAUUACUCAUUUAUUUGUGUUUUCUCUUUUAGCUGGUUCCACAGGGUUAGUCUCAGUUGUGAGUCUAGUUGAGUUCAUUUAGUCCAUGUUUUCUGUUGGUGAUGUGAGCUGAGUUUGUCCAUUUUGUGUUUUGAGUUCUGUUCAUUUGAUUUCUAUUUGUUUCAUGUUCGUUUGUGCUCAAGGAGUCAGAGCUGUGAGAGCUGAUCUGUGUCAGCUGCUGGCUCGGGGUCUCCCAGACGUCAGCCCUGCUGACCCUUCCUGGGGGAGCCCUGGAGAGGGAGAGGAAUCCGGAGGAAGAAUCGCAUCCUGCGGCUCCUGUUUGGUCAAAUUUGUUUUUCUUUUUCCAUUUUUGAUUGCUUUGUACUUUUUCUAUUAUAUUUUGUUUCCUGCCACCAUUCAUGUUCAUUUUGUGUUUUCUCAUUUAACAUUUUAUUCCAUAGAACAGUCUCCGUUGUUGGUGUGGUGUAGUACACACAGUUCAUGUUUUCUGUUGGUAACGGGAGCAGAGUGAGUUUGUUCAUUUUUGUGUUUUGAUUUCUGUUCAUUUGAUUUCUGUUGUUGCAUUUUCAUUUGUGCACCACUCGUCUCCCUUCCUGGGAGCCCCGGGAGAGGGAGAAGAAUCCCGAGGCCAGAAUCGCAUCCUGGAUGGGGACUUCCUGGGGCGGGACUGACUGCGGUCCCCCAAGCCCUCUGUGUCCCCAGUGGCUCCCGCGUCCCUCAGCAGAGCGGGGCAGGAGGUGUCCAUGGCGGCUCCUGGAUGAGCUGAGAAGGCUGUCAGGUAACUACUGCCCAGUCCGGGUGGCUCUACAAGGUUUAGGAUCCAAAGAAGCCCAGAAACCUGAUCUGCACCAGCAAGAAGACUUCCUGUGGAAGGACCUCUUGGUGGCCAUGGCUCCUGUGCUGGAGGCCCCUGGCCCAUUCCCCAUGGGUGUGGACGGAGGUCACCACCAUCGUCCACUGGAAGAUGGACUCCAAGAUGCCCAGCUCAGAAUCCUCGCCCUUCCAGAAGAGGUGUUGACUGUCCCUUGUCCUCGCUGUUCCAAGGACAGGACCCUGUGCCUUCUCUGGCUGCCCCCAGGACCAAACGAUCUACCACCACGAGAAGGACUCCAAGACCCCCAGCUUCCGAAUCCUCGCCCUUCAGGAACAGGUGUUGAAUGUCCUUCGUCCUCGCUGCAAACAGGAGAGGACCCCGUGUCUUCUCUGGCUGCCCCCAGGUCACCACGAUUGUCCACAGGAAGAUGGACUCUGAGACACCCAGCUUAGAAUCCUCGCCCUUCCAGAAGAGGUGUUGAAUGUCCCUUGUCCUCGCUGCCCCAAGGACAGGACCCCGUGGCUGCUCCAUCUCUGGGGUGCAGCUGCUGCCUGGGAAGAACCUCGUUGCCUCUGUUGGUGCCCAUGGAUUGCCCUGCACUACUGCCUCUGUGCCUGCAACGAACAGAUUUAUGAGUUAGACAGAAAUCAAUUACAUCCAUAAAUAGUGGCUGGAGAAACAUGAAGGCCUCAGUGUGGGUUCGGGCACCUGUGCUCACACACGGGGAGCGGGGCGCUGGGAGCCUGGAGAAGGCAGCUUGGAGCAGCGCCCGGGGCCUGGGCUAAGUCCCAGCUCCAGUGCCUGCGGCUGCCACUGCCUUGGUUUCCCACCCCCUGGGGCUCUGUUUCUGGCUCUGUCCAGGGGGUGUGAGUGAAAGGAGCACCUGCCUCCAAGGAAGCACCCGGAACAGCAUCAGACUCCCCUGGCUGCUGGGUAGGGCUGGGUCCUUAGGCCUUGAUGUCUGGCAGGGUUCUGGGAGAUGUCAGCCGUCUGUGGGUCCUGGGCUGUGGGGGAGCUGGCUCCUUCCUGUGACCCCCACUGGCCUUUCCUUUGUCCUUGCCCCUUCUCCCUGCCUGUCUGUCCCACCCCCCUUGUUGGAGGCCCUGAACCUGAUUUGAGGCUCUCUCUAGCCUUCUUUGUCCUCUCUUCCUAUCCAGUCCAGGUGGCCUCUGUUCCUCCCCUGACCUGGGAGCCCUGGGGGUCAGAGCCCUGGGUGUCAGCAUCCGGGAGCAGAUGCCAGGACCUGGCUCAGGGCUCAGGUUCAGAGACAACUCUUUCCCAGGACUGAACGAAGCUCCUUAGGCCAGGUGCAUGGAGUGGAGUCCAUGUGAGGACAGCAUUAUCACAGAGAAAUGGUCACGAGUCAGGCAGCUCCCAGAACUGGAGCAGGUGCUGAGGACCCCUCUCCAUGACAGGUGCGACAGCUUUCCUGGACAACGGGAAGUGAGGUGGGGAGAUCAGCACCAGGGCUCCAGUUCAGUCCCACACCUGCCAGUUGGUCACCUCUUAACUAGUUAAUUGCUCACAGCCUAAUUAGUGAGCUGGAUACAGGGCCUUGUGCCUCAGCCACAGCACAGUGCCUGGAUGAAGCCAUCUGAGUUGGGUCUUGGGCCCAGUGCAUGUCCCUUAUCCAGUCCGUUGCCUUCCAUGAAUUUUAUUUAACAUCUGGUAAGGCUUCCAGUGACGUUGUCUUCUGUCUAGAGGUAGAAAGAGGUGGCUGGGUGAUGUUUAAUUGAAUUCUGAAAUCGGAAUACAAAGCCUUGUUUUAGAAACUUGGUUCUGCGACUCUGGUUGACCCUGGCCGGUGUACUGGGACGGUUGUUCUGGGCAUCACCAAUGACUGGAUCUGGGGAGGCAGGGGGAGCCGGGCCCGGGGUGCAGCCUCAGAGCACCUGCAGGUGCUGAGCCCCCCUCUCCUGCCCCUGGAUGGGAAAGACUGAGCGACCCGGGGUGUCUGUGAGUUUCUGUGGAGCCCAGAUGAGCGUGUCCAGCACCGUGGGGAUCCACCCUCGCCGUGGGCAGCACCACCCAGCCCGCCCAGAACUCGGAGAGAACAGGGCCGCAGGGCAGGGGCAGCUCGGGGCUCUCAUGGAGCCUGCGCGUCUCAGUGCUCCCCCUCAGGGCUCAGAGCCCCCGGUGCUGUGGCUUUUCCACUCUGCAACUCGCACCCGUGACCUGGGACUCCCGGCUGCAGCCCGAGACCGAGAAGAACCCGGCGGCUGCUGGGUCCUGGUCCUGGAUCCUGGGGACUCGGUGUGCACCUGCUCCCAGCUCUCCUGGUUUCCUACUUGGCAGAAGGCUGCCCCUGGAAUUUUCAGCCACCAUCAGAGUGGAAAGGCGCCUGUGUAAACCAGCAGAGGGCAGCACCUGCUGCGGUUUCCUGCUCUGACAUCAGAAGGCACCAUUGUGAUGUCAUGCCCGCUGCCUGCACAAAGCCUUGGCUGGGCCUGGGUUCUGUCAUUUGCCCAGGAAGCGCUGUCCCGGGGACCUGGGGCUGGGAACAGCUGCCUGUUUGUUUUCUUGUUUUGUUUUUAUUCUUCAAGCUGCUGUUGUUUUGGUCCAAUUUGUUUUUUCUUUUGAUUAUUUUGUUCUUUUUUCCCAUUUUAUUUAUUAUGAUUUCCUCCAGUAUUCGUAUUCUUUUUCCCUUUCUUAUUGAUUUUCCUUAGAUAUUUCAUUUCCAUUUGGAUUUUUUCUUCACUUUUUUCCUUGGCUUUCCUCUUUUUGUGGUUGUUCUUUAUAUUUUCUCCCAUUAUUUGGUUUACCUUUGUUCACUUUGAGUUUUUUUCUCAUUUUUAUUCCCUUUUUUUUAAUAAGACUGUGAGUCUGCUUGGAUUUUUAUUACAGUGAAGUUUUAUGAAUUUUUUUCUUUAUGAUUUAUUCCUUUUUUGUGUUUUCUCACUUUUAACUGUUUCGAUAGGGUCGGUCUCAGUUGUGAGUCUAGUUGAGUUCAUUUAGUUCCUGUUUUCUGUUGGUGAUGUGAGCUGACUUUGUCCAUUUUGUGUUCUGAUUUCUGUUCAUUUGAUUUCUGUUGGUUUCAUCUUCGUUUGUGCUCAAGGAGUCAGAGCCGUGAGAGCUGAUCUGUGUCAGCUGCUGGCUCGGGGUCUCCCAGACGUCAGCCCUGCUGACCCUUCCUGGGGGAGCCCUGGAGAGGGAGAGGAAUCCGGAGGAAGAAUCGGAUCCUGCGGCUCCCGUUUGGUCAAAUUUGCUUUUUCUUUUUCCAUUUUGAUUACUUUGUACUUUUUCUAUUUUACUUUGUUUCCUGCCACAAUUCAUGUUCAUUUUGUGUUUUCUCAUUUUAACAUUUUCUUCAAAAGAACAGUCUCCGUUGUUGGUCUGGUGUAGUACACACAGUUCAUGUUUUCUGUUGGUAACGGGAGCAGAGUGAGUUUGUUCAUUUUUGUGUUUUGAUUUCUGUUCAUUUGAUUUCUGUUGUUGCAUUUUCAUUUGUGCACCACUCGUCUCCCUUCCUGGGAGCCCCGGGAGAGGGAGAAGAAUCCCGAGGCCAGAAUCGCAUCCUGGAUGGGGACUUCCUGGGGCGGGGACCGAUUGCCAGUCCCCCAAGCCCUCUGUGUGCCCAGUGGCUCCCGCGUCCCUCAGCAGAGCGGGGCAGGAGGUGUCCAUGGCGGCUCCUGGACCAAGGUAACUACUGCCCAGUCCGGGUGGCUCUACAAGGUUUAGGAUCCAAAGAAGCCCCGGAAACCUGAUCUGUACCAGCAAGAAGACUUCCUGUGGAAGGACCUCUUGGUGGUCACCACCAUCGUCCUCUGGAAGAUGGACUCCGAGACGCCCAGCUCAGUAUCAUCGCUCUUCCAGAAGAGGUGUUGAAUGUCCCUUGUCCUCGCUGCCCCAAGGACAGGACCUUGUGGAUUCUCUGCUGCCCCCAAGUUACCACGAUCGCCCACUGGAAAAUGGACCUGAGAAUCCCAUUUUCAGAAUCCUCGCCCUUCCUGAACAGGUGUUGAAUGUCCCUCGUCCUCGCUGCCCCAAGGACAGGACUCUGUGGCUCCUCUGUCCCCGGGGAGCAGCUGCUGCCUGGGAAGAACCUCGUUGCCUCUGUUGGUGCCCAUGGAUUGCCCUGCACUACUGCCUCUGUGCCUGCAUGUUAACUGUUUAAAUAGGAGUUUAAGAGAAAUCCAUUAGGUCAUAAAUUUGUGGAUGGAGAAACAUGAAGGACUUAGUGUUGAUUCGGGCACCUGUGCUCACACACCGGGGAGCGGAGCGCUGGGAGCCUGAAGGAGGCAGCUUGGAGCCGCGCCCGGGGCCUGGGCUGAGUCCUGGCUCCAGUGCCCGCGGCUGGCACUGCCUUGGUUUCCCACCCCCUGGGGCUCUGUUUCUGGCUCUGUCAAGGGGGUGUGAGUGACAGGAGCACCUGCCUCCAAGGAAGCCCCCGGAACAGCACCAGACUCCCCUGGCUGCUGGUAGGGCUGGGUCCUUAGGCCUUGAUGUCUGGCGGGGUUCUGGGAGCUGUCAGCCUCUGUGGGUCCUGGGCUGUGGGGGAGCUGGCUCCUUCCUGUGACCCCCACUGGCCUUUCCUUUGUCCUUGCCCCUUCUCCUUCUCUCUGUCCCCACCCCUCCUUGUUGGAGGCCCUGAACCUGAUUUGAGGCUCUCUCUCCCCUUCUUUGUCCUCUCUUCCUAUCCAGUCCAGGUGGCCUCUGUUCCUCCCCUGACCUGGGAGCCCUGGGGGUCAGAGUCCUGGGCGUCAGCAUCCAAGAGCAGAUGCCAGGACCUGGCUCAGGGCUCAGGUUCAGAGACAACUCUUUCCUGUGACUAAAGGAAGCUUCUUAGGCCAGGUGCAUGGAGUGGAGUCCAUGUGAGGACAGCAUUAUCACAGAGAAAUGGUCACGAGUCAGGCAGCUCCCAGAACUGGAGCAGGUGCUGAGGACCCCUCUCCAUGACAGGUGCGACAGCUUUCCUGGACAACAGGAAGUGAGGUGGGGAGAUCAGCACCAGGGCUCCAGUUCAGUCCCCACACCUGCCAGUCGGGCACCUCUUAACUAGUUAAUUGCUCACUACCUGAUUAAUGAACUGCCUCUGGGUCUUGUGCCGCAGCCCCAGCCCCGUGGCCCUGAUGAAUCUGUUUGGGUAGGGGGUGUGGGCCCAGUGCUGGUGCCUGGUCCAAGUCCAUGAUUCCCAUGAAUUUUCUUUAACACCUGGUAAGGCUUCCCUGAUGUCAUGUUUUCAUCCCUAGGUGAAGCAGAGGUCGGCUAGGUGACGUUUCAUGAAGUUAGGAACGUUCGAGCGAAGGGCCUUGUUAGCAUCUGAGUUCCAAGACUCUGUUCACCUUGGCUGUUGCCCCGGUCCGGUGUCUCCAGAAACCAGAUAGGGGAGGCCCUGAGAGCUAGGUGCAGGGUGGAGCCUCUGGGUGUCCUAGGUGCUGGGCGCUCCCUUCUGCUGCCCCCAGACGGGAAGAUUGAGCGACUGGAUGCGGCUUUAGGAGUGUGUGGAUCCUAGAUGGGAGUCUGAGCAGGCAUGGGCUCCACCUCUGAGUGGGAGGCACCAUCAUCAGUGGGGACCUCGGAGACAGGAGGGCGGCAGAGGAAGGGCGAGCUGGGCUCUCUCUGGGCCUGCGGUCUUAGCUCUCCCAGCUCAGGGUCAGAACCCAGGUCCUGUGGCUUUCUGAUCUGGAGCUCGAACCGGUGGACCCUGGGCUCACAGUGCAGCCUGAGUCUGAGAAGGACAUCAGGGGGUCAGGAUCCUGCGGGCUCAGUCUGUGCCUGGCCCCCAGCGCUCCUGGUUCCCCGCCUUGCAGACAGAGCACACUGGGACUACACAGUGCCAUCACCAGGUGAGCCCCUCCCUUGCCUGGCUCUCUGUGCUGUGGUCUGGCUCCCUGCAGAUGGUGGUGGGAUGGAUUCUGAAUCCUCUGGGGACCUUGCUGGGUGCACUGCUGCGGGAGAGGCCGGCAUGGGAGUUCUGGGGUUCGGGAAGCUUCCGGUGGUGCCCAGGACAAGGCUCUCCGUCUGGCGUCCUCAGAGUGCCUGGGGAUCCCUGCAGUGGGACGUGCAGACCCAGAGGGCGCUUGGAGCGGGGUGGAUGGGAACCCCGGAGCCACCCCUUGCACAGGCGUCCACUGAGCAGCUGCACACCAACUGGGCCGUGGUAGCGGGCGGCUCUUUUCACUCUCUGGCCCAGGAUUAGAACCACCUGCGGGCUGGAAGCCACAGAGGCCUGGGCAGCUCCCCAGGGAGACGCAGGUGUUCCAUAUCAGAAAGAGUUUGUAGUGGUCACCUGGGUCUCAGGAAACGCUGAGCGCGGCCUUGCCUUGGUGUGGGGGAUUUUGGGGGUGUGAGUUUGGGCACAGCUAGGAGCAGGCCUGGGGCUGUGGGGUCCUCCUGGGCAGGGCGGCAGCACCUCUGAUUUAGCCCUGCAGAACUUGUUUCUGUCUUCCCAAAGCCCAGUCCCACGACUGCACGCUGCACAGAGGGGAAGCCGCAGGGCGCAUGCUCCUGACCCAGCGCCCUGGGGAGUCUCUUUCCAGACCUCUUACUGCGCAUCCGUGUGUCCAAUCAGGAGCUGAGGACGACCGUGGUUAAGAACCCAGGUCAGGGCCAGGCCGCCCUGCUUGGAGUCCUGGUUCUCCUGUCCGUGCCUGGUGUCCUUGGCUGUGCAGCGUCUGUGUGUGGCCGGCAUCUGUGAGGUGGGCACAGGCUGUGAGGAGGCAGCGUGGGUGUGGGUAACCAGCAGAGCACAUGUGGUGCACGUGCGGCCUGGACGGGCUCACUGCAGACACUUGAUCCUGGAGGCUGCUCCUCGGGGCCUGGGUCCCUCGGCUGUCACAGUGCCCACGGGAACCGCCCCUUCCUGUCUACCACAGGGUGGUGUCCGAGCAUGGACACCCUGAUUUGGGCACGGUGCCUCCACUAUUCACAACUCCCAGGGGUCUCAGAGCAGGUGUGCACACACCCUGCACACGCAGCCCUGAGAGGGUCUCUGGUGGACACAGCUGGGAGUGGGCGGGUUCAUGCAGAGGCCGCGUGUACCUGGCUUGUUAGGAAGGCCGUGCCCCGGCCCCCUGUGCAGCGGCACUGAGGGCUCUCACCCCACAGGCCAGCGGGCAGGAUGAGUGCUGUCCCUGCAGACGCUGGGGUGUGGGUGCUGGGGUCGCAUUCAUGGGCCCCCUCUUCCCUGUAACGUGGAGCGUCCGUGUGGCCAGGCCGUGUGGGUGUCCUGCAGGAUGUCGCGUCAUGGUCUCUGCCUGUGGCAGUGUCUGCAGCUGUGGAUUCUGAGGUCCUGUCACGACAGGCAGGUCCUCAUGUGUCACCAACACCAAUUCUUUGUGAUUGCAAACACUUUUUUAAAUACAUUUUUUAAAUAUUUAUUUAUUAAUUUUAAAGUCAGAGUUAUACUGUCUUUCUCUCAAUCACCCUUAUAUCCACUGGUUCCCUCACCAAUUGAAAGCAAUGGCUAGAGCUGUGGUGAUAUGAGACAGGGAGCCAGCAGCUUCUUCUGAAUCUCCCAGAUGGGUGCAGAACUUGGGCCUUCUUCUACUGCUUUCCCAGGCCAUAGCAGAGAGCUGGAUCAGAAGUGGAGCAGGCGGGACUCAAACCAGCACCCAGAUGGGAUCUGGCCACAGCAGGUGGUAGCUUUACCCACCAUGCCUCAGUGCCAGCCCCAAGCACUUCCUUCUUGCCUGUCUUCUCUUUCAUAUGUGUUGUUGUACGGGGCCUUCCUUUGAGGUAUCACUCACGUACCGUGGACGUGACCCUGUGACGCGUCCCGCACACUGGUUCUAGGUGUACACCUGUCUCUAUCGAGCUCACUGUGUGAGAGCUGGGCUCAGGGAGGCUGCAGAUGGCGCAGUGACAGAGACACUGGACUCGGAUCCCUUUCUUUCUCCCUGGCUUUCCUCUGCCCCACCAGGGCGUCUGCAGACCGAGCCCUGGGAGAGCGGAGGGAGGGUCUGACGCAGGCCCAGUGAGCCUGAGUAGGAAGUGCUAGCAUGGCUGGGGCUGCUCCAUCCUGGCUGCAUGGGCGCUGCUGGGGAACCAGAGCCCCGGACCCCACAGGGUGGGGGCACAGGUGAGCCUGGCAUAGGGUGCUGCAGGGUGCCCAAAGUGCACCCCAGGACGGCACUGAACAGACGGGGUCUCUGCUAUGCAGGGAACUACUGAAGGCUACAAGGUCACUGCUUAAGAUGAGCCCCACCCAUUCUAUUCCUUAGCUCAGGUCACAGCCUCUGUCCCCAUCCGGGCACAGACACCAGGCAGAGUGACCCAGGGUCGUGGGGGAGGGGCCCAGUGUCCCUGAUCUUCAGUGGUUCAGGGCUGUCCCUGGGGACAUCCAUCCGCAGGCCCCUCCUCCUCCUGUGUGUACAGGGAAAGUGAGUUCUGGCAUCUGGACGCCCAUGUGACAGUCUGCCUGUGUGCCCUUCCCUGACACCAGGGAGGCAGAGCAAUUCCCUCCCUUGGGAGAGGGGGGCUCAGGCUCCAGGUCCAGGGGCUGCCUCCCCUCCCCCACUGGCUCCCUGGCUCCCUGUGGAGCUGGGCCUCUGCCUCAGGCUCAGCUUGCAUUCACAGCCUCAGCCCCACCCCUGCAGACCUGGGCUGUGGGCAUUGGCCCCUCCUUCACAAACAGGGAAACUGAGGCCGAGAUGAAGAGCCAGGCCCCUCCCCAGUGAGCGGUUCCUCCCAGGCCCAGGUGGCUGCUGAUUCCUGCCCCACCCAGGGAGCAGCUGGGGCAGAGCCGGGGCGUCAGCAUCGGGAGCAGCUGCCAGCCCUGGGCCCAGGGGCUCAGUGUGGAGGAGACAGCUCCACCUGUGACAGAGGAACGUCCUUAGGCCAGUACAUGGAGUGGAGUGUAUCUGAGAAGAGCAUCAUACAACAACAAUGAUACCAGAACCAGGCAGCUCUGGGAAUGGAGCAGGUUCUGAGGUGGCUCAUCCAGGACAGGUGCACAGCACUGCUGGACCACGGGAAGUGGGUGCAGAGAUCAGCACCAUGGCUCCAGGUCAGUCCCCAGACCUGCGGGGUGGCCACGGCU
This is a non-coding RNA of Oryctolagus cuniculus (rabbit), 10431 nucleotides long. The record is from RefSeq and is a predicted model, not a curated record. NCBI's taxonomy places the organism in Eukaryota, Metazoa, Chordata, Mammalia, Lagomorpha, Leporidae.